This 513-nucleotide ribosomal RNA is filed under the name Lysinibacillus sp. sw7. Its description in RNAcentral is "bacterial SSU rRNA". It matches the Rfam family "Bacterial small subunit ribosomal RNA", at positions 373 to 877 of the family's 1533-position model. Lineage: Bacteria; Bacillati; Bacillota; Bacilli; Caryophanales; Bacillaceae. The record is from RNAcentral.
GGGCGRAAGCCUGAUGGAGCAACGCCGCGUGAGUGAAGAAGGUUUUCGGAUCGUAAAACUCUGUUGUAAGGGAAGAACAAGUACAGUAGUAACUGGCUGUACCUUGACGGUACCUUAUUAGAAAGCCACGGCUAACUACGUGCCAGCAGCCGCGGUAAUACGUAGGUGGCAAGCGUUGUCCGGAAUUAUUGGGCGUAAAGCGCGCGCAGGCGGUCCUUUAAGUCUGAUGUGAAAGCCCACGGCUCAACCGUGGAGGGUCAUUGGAAACUGGGGGACUUGAGUGCAKAAGAGGAAAGUGGAAUUCCAAGUGUAGCGGUGAAAUGCGUAGAGAUUUGGAGGAACACCAGUGGCGAAGGCGACUUUCUGGUCUGUAACUGACGCUGAGGCGCGAAAGCGUGGGGAGCAAACAGGAUUAGAUACCCUGGUAGUCCACGCCGUAAACGAUGAGUGCUAAGUKUUAGGGGGUUUCCGCCCCUUAGUGCUGCAGCUAACGCAUUAAGCACUCCGCCUGGG